This is a long non-coding RNA of Sinocyclocheilus anshuiensis, 729 nucleotides long. RefSeq lists it as uncharacterized. The record is from RefSeq and is a predicted model, not a curated record. Lineage: Eukaryota; Metazoa; Chordata; Actinopteri; Cypriniformes; Cyprinidae. The transcript has 3 exons.
UUUGAUCAAAUAAAUGCAGCCUUGAUAAGCAAGAGACUUCCUAAAAAACAAAAAAAGUUUAAAAAUAUCUCGUUAUUCCAAACUUCUGCCCCAUAGUGGAUUUUCAGUGGAUUUGGUCACACCAGCAGCUUUUAAUAGGUUUCAUGAUGCUCUUUUGAUUGGAUGGAGGAAGAGGAAAUCCACGAAAGACGCCCCACUACUGCCAAUUUCCUGAAGAAACCCAAGUGAACUUCACUACUGCGUCUAAGAGAUUGUAUGGAUUUUUUUAUAGAUGCUGUCAUUCAGCUAUAAGCUUCAAAACAACAUUGAAAUAGUCAAAUAAUAAUGUCGAUUCUGCGUGAUUGUUUGAAAGGGUGUAAACCCUGCUCCAGCACACCUGCUUGUACUUCUCAAGUAAUUCUGAUUAGCUAAUUCAGACGUGUUAAAUAGAGUUGCAAGAACUUGAAAUUGAGUUUGAGUGUCCUGCCCUAAAAGCUGAUUCACUGACAGGAACGCUAUCGGAGGAUGUUGAUCCAGGAGCAUGUUUAUCAUGUCCUGCUGGGAAGUUAAUUAUGGCUACAGAGGGAGACCCAACUGACUGUGAAAGUGCUUCACCUUCUGGUCAUUUCCUUCACCUGGGGAAUGCAGGUGUGGGUGUCUUUCAUAGCAGGUUUUGUGCUGAUUUCCCAGGUAUCCAUGCACACAUUCGGUCUUGUGCAAAGCAAGUUAUUCCCAUUUUAUUUCUACUGU